This 540-nucleotide ribosomal RNA is filed under the name uncultured bacterium. RNAcentral's name for it is "partial 16S ribosomal RNA". It matches the Rfam family "Bacterial small subunit ribosomal RNA", at positions 355 to 911 of the family's 1533-position model. The record is from RNAcentral.
UGGGGAAUAUUGCACAAUGGGCGAAAGCCUGAUGCAGCAACGCCGCGUGAGUGAUGAAGGUCUUCGGAUUGUAAAGCUCUGUCUUUUGGGACGAUAAUGACGGUACCAAAGGAGGAAGCCACGGCUAACUACGUGCCAGCAGCCGCGGUAAUACGUAGGUGGCGAGCGUUGUCCGGAUUUACUGGGCGUAAAGGGUGCGUAGGCGGAUGUUUAAGUGAGAUGUGAAAUACCCGGGCUUAACUUGGGUGCUGCAUUUCAAACUGGAUAUCUAGAGUGCAGGAGAGGAGAAUGGAAUUCCUAGUGUAGCGGUGAAAUGCGUAGAGAUUAGGAAGAACACCAGUGGCGAAGGCGAUUCUCUGGACUGUAACUGACGCUGAGGCAUGAAAGCGUGGGUAGCAAACAGGAUUAGAUACCCUGGUAGUCCACGCCGUAAACGAUGAGUACUAGGUGUAGGAGGUAUCGACCCCUUCUGUGCCGCAGUAAACACAUUAAGUACUCCGCCUGGGAAGUACGAUCGCAAGAUUAAAACUCUAAAGUGAA